GGGGCUGUAGCUCAGAGGUAGAGUGCUCGCUUCACAUGUGGAAGGCACUCAUUUCAAUCCUCAGCACCA
RNAcentral lists this transfer RNA (69 nucleotides) under Marmota monax (woodchuck). RNAcentral describes it as "tRNA.Val". The record is from RNAcentral. Lineage: Eukaryota; Metazoa; Chordata; Mammalia; Rodentia; Sciuridae.